This 250-nucleotide ribosomal RNA is filed under the name uncultured bacterium. Its description in RNAcentral is "partial 16S ribosomal RNA". It matches the Rfam family "Bacterial small subunit ribosomal RNA", at positions 524 to 773 of the family's 1533-position model. The record is from RNAcentral.
CACGGGGGGAGCGAACGUUGUUCGGAAUCACUGGGCGUAAAGGGCGUCUAGGCGGUCCGGUAAGUGAGAUGUGAAAGCCCUCGGCUCACCCGAGGAACUGCAUCUCAUACUGCUGGACUUGAGUGCGGGAGAGGAUGGGGGAAUUCCUGGUGUAGCGGUGAAAUGCGUAGAUAUCAGGAGGAACACCGGUGGCGAAGGCGCCCAUCUGGCCCGUUACUGACGCUGAAGCGCGAAAGCUAGGGGAGCAAAC